GUGGGAGUGAGAUUUCUUUCCGACAAGGGAAGAAAAACCAAGGAGGAAGAAAAAAAGAAUGCUUCUUGGGAGUUAGAGAACUGAGAUGCCCAUGGAGGUCUUAGACCUCGAAGCAUCUCAGAAGCUGCUCCUGGUCCCCGAGGUCCCAGCAGACCUUCUAGUGCAGGUGGAAGACGGGCGGUCCUGGCUGAUGUGGAUCACGUCCCCGUGCAGGCCGCCCUGGCGAUGUUGGCACUCACUGGGCCUGGAGGGGACAGAAACGCUCCCAGGAGUGUUCAGGUGAUCGUCAUUCUGGUUUGCCCAGACCCUCCCAGAUUCAGCACCUGAGAGUUCGGGGUCCCAGAAAACCUCUCAGUCCUGGACAGACCAGCAUGAUCCAUCACUUUACAUUGUUCUCAGGCAGCUAUUUUUUUUUUUUUGGAGAAAAUAGGCACAAAUACCUUUACUCAACCAUCUUAAUCUGAAAGUCCUGUCAGUCCCAUUAUUCAUGGUGAUUUUUUGUCUUUUUCUAGCUCUUUAUUAGUCAUUUGGAGUUGGGAGACACCAAUAGGGACUGCUGAGCAAACACAAUUUUAAGUCACAACCAGGGAGAAAUACUGAAUUCCCAGAGGUACAAUCUACCCCCCAAAAUUUUAUUCUCAGUAGAUAUAUUAGACAUGUGAGGCUGUAUUAAAAAUUAUUUCACAGAGAGAAGAUUUUGCUCUAGGAAUCAAAUUAUCCUUCAGAUAACAAUGAUUUUGUGA
Molecule: non-coding RNA, 743 nt
Organism: Vicugna pacos (alpaca)
Lineage: Eukaryota; Metazoa; Chordata; Mammalia; Artiodactyla; Camelidae
Source: RefSeq, a predicted model, not a curated record